UACGUAGGGUGCGAGCGUUAAUCGGAAUUACUGGGCGUAAAGCGUGCGCAGGCGGCUUUGUAAGACAGAUGUGAAAUCCCCGGGCUUAACCUGGGAACUGCGUUUGUGACUGCAAAGCUAGAGUGCGGCAGAGGGGGGUGGAAUUCCUGGUGUAGCAGUGAAAUGCGUAGAGAUCAGGAGGAACACCGAUGGCGAAGGCAGCCCCCUGGGUUGACACUGACGCUCAUGCACGAAAGCGUGGGGAGCAAACAGG
Molecule: ribosomal RNA, 253 nt
Filed under: uncultured bacterium
Lineage: Bacteria
Description: partial 16S ribosomal RNA
Rfam family: Bacterial small subunit ribosomal RNA
Source: RNAcentral